GAUGAACGCUGGCGGCGUGCCUAAUACAUGCAAGUCGAGCGAACAGAUGAGGAGCUUGCUCCUCUGACGUUAGCGACGGACGGGUGAGUAACACGUGGAUAACCUACCUAUAAGACUGGGAUAACUUCGGGAAGCCGGAGCUAAUACCGGAUAAUAUAUUGAACCGCAUGGUUCAAUAGUGAAAGACGGUUUUGCUGUCACUUAUAGAUGGAUCCGCGCCGCAUUAGCUAGUUGGUAAGGUAACGGCUUACCAAGGCAACGAUGCGUAGCCGACCUGAGAGGGUGAUCGGCCACACUGGAACUGAGACACGGUCCAGACUCCUACGGGAGGCAGCAGUAGGGAAUCUUCCGCAAUGGGCGAAAGCCUGACGGAGCAACGCCGCGUGAGUGAUGAAGGUCUUCGGAUCGUAAAACUCUGUUAUUAGGGAAGAACAAAUGUGUAAGUAACUAUGCACGUCUUGACGGUACCUAAUCAGAAAGCCACGGCUAACUACGUG
RNAcentral lists this ribosomal RNA (497 nucleotides) under uncultured bacterium. RNAcentral's name for it is "partial 16S ribosomal RNA". It matches the Rfam family "Bacterial small subunit ribosomal RNA", at positions 28 to 507 of the family's 1533-position model. The record is from RNAcentral.